ACCAAUACAAUUCUACAUUUUAUUAAAAAAUCAAAUCAUAUCUAUCAUUGUAAACUGAGCUUAUAACAGGGAAGAAGAACCAACUAUUUUAAUGCGAGUAGGAAAUAUUAACAGAUUCGGUCAAUAGGAUAUGGGGAUAAAUCAUAAUGAAAGAGCGGUAACUAUUAAGUAUCGACUUCGUCAGCAAUUUGGAAUACCUAAAGUCGAUAUUAUAAGUAAGAAAAAAUUAUUAAAUCGUAACAAGUUUCAGGGCAACCAGUUCGAAAGAGACCGAGAUGCCAUUCUAGUGCCAAGGGAUACCGUUCUUGUUCCAAAUGGGAAGAACGCAAUCAAAUACGCAACAAAUGAUAAUAUAUGUAAGACUCCAAAAACGAUGCUAAG
This is a non-coding RNA of Schizosaccharomyces pombe (fission yeast), 381 nucleotides long. Lineage: Eukaryota; Fungi; Ascomycota; Schizosaccharomycetes; Schizosaccharomycetales; Schizosaccharomycetaceae. The record is from the annotation of a GenBank genome assembly.